AAAGGGGAGCAAUCCCUGAGUAAAGUGGCGCACGGGUGAGUAACACGUGAAUAAUCUACCUCCGAGUGGGGAAUAACUGAGAGAAAUCUUAGCUAAUACCGCAUAAUACCCACGGGUCAAAGCAGCAAUGCGCUUGGAGAGGAGUUCGCGGCCGAUUAGCUAGUUGGCGGGGUAAUGGCCCACCAAGGCGAUGAUCGGUAUCCGGCCUGAGAGGGCGCACGGACACACUGGAACUGAAACACGGUCCAGACUCCUACGGGAGGCAGCAGUGGGGAAUUUUGCGCAAUGGGGGAAACCCUGACGCAGCAACGCCGCGUGGAGGAUGAAGCCCCUUGGGGUGUAAACUCCUUUCGAUCGGGAAGAUAAUGACGGUACCGAUAUAAGAAGCCCCGGCUAACUUCGUGCCAG
RNAcentral lists this ribosomal RNA (408 nucleotides) under uncultured bacterium. Its description in RNAcentral is "bacterial SSU rRNA". It matches the Rfam family "Bacterial small subunit ribosomal RNA", at positions 71 to 511 of the family's 1533-position model. The record is from RNAcentral.